Molecule: ribosomal RNA, 480 nt
Filed under: uncultured bacterium
Lineage: Bacteria
Description: partial 16S ribosomal RNA
Rfam family: Bacterial small subunit ribosomal RNA
Source: RNAcentral
AUUGAACGCUGGCGGCAUGCCUUACACAUGCAAGUCGAACGGUAACAGGUCUUCGGAUGCUGACGAGUGGCGAACGGGUGAGUAAUACAUCGGAACGUGCCCAGACGUGGGGGAUAACGUGGCGACAGCUUUGCUAAUACCGCAUACGAUCUAAGGAUGAAAGCAGGGGACCGCAAGGCCUUGCGCGUUUGGAGCGGCCGAUGGCCGAGUAGGUAGUUGGUGGGAUAAAAGCUUACCAAGCCGACGAUCUGUAGCUGGUCUGAGAGGGGGAGCAGCCACACGGGGACUAACGGCCGGCCUGGGCUCGAGCGGGGGGCAGCAGUGGGAAAGUGUGGACAAGGGGGGAAUGCCGGACCCAGCAAUGCCGCGUGAAGAAGGAAGGCCUUGGGGUGGAAAACUGCUUUUGUACGGAACAAAAAGGUUCUGGGUAAUACCGGGGGAACAUGGCGGAACCGUAAAAAAAAGCACGGGCAAACUACG